UUUCCAGUUCUAAUUACCUCC
This 21-nucleotide non-coding RNA is filed under the name Caenorhabditis elegans. The record is from RNAcentral. Lineage: Eukaryota; Metazoa; Nematoda; Chromadorea; Rhabditida; Rhabditidae.